UGGGGAAUAUUGCACAAUGGGGGAAACCCUGAUGCAGCGACGCCGCGUGAACGAAUAAGGUAUUCGUAUCGUAAAGUUCUGUCCUAUGUGAAGAUAAUGACAGUACCAUAGAAGAAAGCUCCGGCUAAAUACGUGCCAGCAGCCGCGGUAAUACGUAUGGAGCGAGCGUUGUCCGGAAUUAUUGGGCGUAAAGGGUACGCAGGCGGUUUAAUAAGUCGAAUGUUAAAGAUCGGGGCUCAACCCCGUAAAGCAUUGGAAACUGAUAAACUUGAGUAGUGGAGAGGAAAGUGGAAUUCCUAGUGUAGUGGUGAAAUACGUAGAUAUUAGGAGGAAUACCAGUAGCGAAGGCGACUUUCUGGACACAAACUGACGCUGAGGUACGAAAGCGUGGGGAGCAAACAGG
RNAcentral lists this ribosomal RNA (403 nucleotides) under bacterium. RNAcentral describes it as "partial 16S ribosomal RNA". It matches the Rfam family "Bacterial small subunit ribosomal RNA", at positions 355 to 776 of the family's 1533-position model. The record is from RNAcentral.